GUUUUCAGUUAUCAAAGAUGAAGAAAAUAGUUAUCCAAGUGCGCAUGGAGAAUGACAAAUGCAGAAGCAAGGCAAUGAAAAUUGCUGCUGCGUCUCAAGGUGUGCAUUCAGUGGCAUUAGAGGGUGAAGACAGAGAUCAAGUGGUGGUGACUGGAGAUGCAAUUGAUUCGGUUUGCUUGACUAAUAAAUUAAGAAAGAAGUUCAAAUAUGCAACUCUUAUGAGUGUGACAGACGAAAACGAGGAUGGUGAUGCUGGAG
This 258-nucleotide small RNA is filed under the name Vigna angularis var. angularis. RNAcentral's name for it is "Non-protein coding transcript". Lineage: Eukaryota; Viridiplantae; Streptophyta; Magnoliopsida; Fabales; Fabaceae. The record is from RNAcentral.